Molecule: ribosomal RNA, 330 nt
Filed under: uncultured Chloroflexota bacterium
Lineage: Bacteria; Bacillati; Chloroflexota
Description: bacterial SSU rRNA
Rfam family: Bacterial small subunit ribosomal RNA
Source: RNAcentral
GAUGAACGCUGGCGGCGUGCUUAAUACAUGCAAGUCGAACGAGGGACUUUUGUAGCAAUACGAGAGUUUCCUAGUGGCGAACGGGUGCGUAACGCGUUGGUGACCUGCCCUAAAGCGUGGGAUAACAGUUCGAAAGGAUUGCUAAUACCACAUGUGAUCAUCGGGUUUAGAAGCUGAUGAUUAAAGGAGUAAUCCACUUUAGGAGGGACCUGCGUCCCAUCAGCUAGUUGGUGAGGUAAUGGCCCACCAAGGCUACGACGGGUAGGGGACCUGAGAGGGUGGUCCCCCACAUUGGCACUGAAACACGGGCCAAACACCUACGGGUGGCUG